UACGUAGGGUGCAAGCGUUAAUCGGAAUUACUGGGCGUAAAGCGUGCGCAGGCGGUUUUGUAAGUCUGUCGUGAAAUCCCCGGGCUCAACCUGGGAAUUGCGAUGGAGACUGCAAGGCUAGAAUCUGGCAGAGGGGGGUAGAAUUCCACGGUGUAGCAGUGAAAUGCGUAGAGAUGUGGAGGAACACCGAUGGCGAAGGCAGCCCCCUGGGUCAAGAUUGACGCUCAUGCACGAAAGCGUGGGGAGCAAACAGG
This 254-nucleotide ribosomal RNA is filed under the name uncultured bacterium. RNAcentral describes it as "partial 16S ribosomal RNA". It matches the Rfam family "Bacterial small subunit ribosomal RNA", at positions 524 to 776 of the family's 1533-position model. The record is from RNAcentral.